AAUUUUGACAGGUAAUAAUAGCAAGACUCCCAGCUUCUCUUUCGCUUGCGCCUCAAUAUUUUUUUUUUUUUUUCUCUGUGUUUCUCUACGAUACUGAAAUGACGAUCUAAAUGACGGUGAAACGAGAUCUUCACAACGAUGAUGUCGAAACCCUACCGAAUAUGGGUUUGCAGUUUGUAUCUGUACUCUCCAAGCCUACCAGAAAUAGGUCCAACCAGAUCGAUGGCGUCAAAUACUUGAUCGGUGACCUCUGUUUCGAAAAUUGAAGCCCUUGGUCCUCCGUUGAAGCUUGUUCGAGAUUUCAUCCUAUUUUGUACCGAUUGCUGGGGUUGAAACUGAGUCACGAUCAUCAAUACCAGCUCUCGUUGUUCUUCAAUUGCUCUCAAUCGCUACUUAGAUAGUUGGGUUUGAAAGGUUCGUUGACUUUGUUUGCGGUUCAGAUUUUGACAUGUCAGAUUAACUCCCGACUCCAUCGAAGAGGAAGAGGACCAGAAAGUCCACAACUCCAUCGCCACCAAAGCCAUCUGCAAAUCUGCCAAGAAAGCAUAAGCAGAUUUACAUGAGGGGAACAAAGAGAGAUCUCAGUUAUAGGGUGUUAAUUGCCGCUUUAUAAGAGGUUCUAGAAGUCACCUAACUCAGUCGUGAACAAGGCAAGGACUCAAAUUAGGAACAAGCAGCGAAUUUUGUCCCAGAUCCAAGCUAGAUCUAUUCCGCCACUUUUGGAAGGCAAAGAUGUUCUUGGAGCUGCAAGGACAGGUUCUGGAAAGACCCUUGCCUUUUUGAUACCUGCUGUGGAGUUGUUACAUCAAAUCUGAACAGGGGUAAUUGUCAUCUGCCCAACUAGGGAACUUGCCAUACAGGUACCUGAGGAUCCGAGCGAUUAUUUGAACAUACGUAUAAGUCAUGCUUUUGCUCAUGGCAUUUUAUAUGUAUGAUGUCAUGACAAGAAAGACAUGUGGACAACUUCGAUAUUUUGGUGGAGGGCUAAGCAUUGGGUGGUCUAAGGGAAGUGCUUCCAAGGUACGGAUAUGUGGGUGAUGUGUUUAUUGCUUGGUUCAUGUUGAUUGAUCUGAUGUAUAGUUUUGACCAGGGAGGGACCUAAGAUUUUAAGGGAAAUAUAUACUAACAGAACUUUUAAAAUGUAUGGAUUACAACAUAUAUAAUAAGCAUGUUUGCUUGUAUCUACGGUGAGUUAGAAAAAAUUGCAAUUGUAAGACAAUAUUUCUAUUGAAAUGAGGCAUCUUGAGUUGUAUUCCACACACUUUCAUGUCAUUAAAUGAAUCUAUGGUAGAAUAGACAUUAAGAUCCCAAACAAUGUC
Molecule: non-coding RNA, 1319 nt
Organism: Camellia sinensis
Lineage: Eukaryota; Viridiplantae; Streptophyta; Magnoliopsida; Ericales; Theaceae
Source: RefSeq, a predicted model, not a curated record